Molecule: non-coding RNA, 45 nt
Organism: Echinostoma caproni
Lineage: Eukaryota; Metazoa; Platyhelminthes; Trematoda; Plagiorchiida; Echinostomatidae
Source: Rfam
GCACUGCUGAUGAGUCUCAAACAGGACGAAACAGCUGUCCAGUGC